UCAAGCUACUAAGGGCAUACGGUGGAUGCCUUGGCACUAAGAGCCGAUGAAGGACGCGGUAAGCUGCGAAAAGCCACGGGGAACUGCAAGCAAGUCUUGAUCCGUGGAUGUCCGAAUGGGGAAACCCACCAUCCGUCAUGGGAUGGUAUCCUACGGGAGGGGAACCCGGUGAACUGAAACAUCUAAGUAGCCGGAGGAAGAGAAAUCAAACGAGAUGCCCACAGUAGCGGCGAGCGAAGAGGGCAGAGCCUAAACCAGUCAUCUUCGGAUGGUUGGGGUUACGGACCUGCAUCAACCGAGUCCUACCUAGUCGAAUUACCUGGAAAGGUAAGCCAGAGAGCGUAAGAGCCGCGUAGGUGAAAGGAAGGACGAGGGGGCAGGGAUCCAGAGUACCACGAAGCACGAGGAAUUUUGUGGGAAGUCGGGGGGACCACCCUCCAAGGCUAAACACUUCUUAGUGACCGAUAGCGCAUAGUACCGUGAGGGAAAGGUGAAAAGAACCGCGGGAGCGGAGUGAAAGAGAACCUGAAACCGUAUGUCUACAAGCAGUCGGAGCGCAAGCGACGGCGUGCCUAUUGAAGAAUGAGCCAACGAGUUACGGGCACCAGCGAGGUUAAGCAGGAAAUGCGGAGCCGGAGCGAAAGCGAGUCUAAACAGGGCGAAUAGUUGGUGUUCGUAGACCCGAAACUGUAGUGAUCUACCCAUGAUCAGGUUGAAGCGCAGGUAAAAAUGCGUGGAGGACCGAACCGGUGAGCGUUGAAAAGCUUUCGGAUGAAUCGUGGGUAGCGGUGAAAUUCCAAUCGAACGCAGAGAUAGCUGGUUCUCCUCGAAAUAGCUUUAGGGCUAGCCUCAAGCAGUAAGCAUAGGCGGUAGAGCACUGAUCGGGAUAGGGUCCGUAAAGGAUACCGAACCCUGUCAAACUACGAAUGGUUAUGCUGCAGAGCUUGGGAGUCAGACUACGAGAGAUAAGUCCCGUUGUCAAAAGGGAAACAGCCCAGACCGUCAGCUAAGGUCCCCAAUGCCAUACUAAGUGGAAAAGGAUGUGGGGUCUCAUAAACAACCAGGAUGUUGGCUCAGAAGCAGCCACCAUUUAAAGAGUGCGUAAUAGCUCACUGGUCGAGAGGCCCUGCGCCGAAGAUUCCCGGGGCUAAAGUAUGGAACCGAAGCUACGGAUGCGGUACUUGUACCGCGUGGUAGAGGAGCGUUCCCAUUGGGUUGAAGUCGUCCUGGAAGGGACGGUGGACUGGUGGGAAGUGAGAAUGUUGGCAUGAGUAGCGAAAAGAUAGGUGAGAAUCCUAUCCACCGAAAGCAUAAGGAUUCCUGAGCAACGAUCGUCGUCUCAGGGUAAGUCGGGACCUAAUCCGAGGCAUGGAGCGUAGGAGAUGGACAACUGGUUGAUAUUCCAGUACCGGCAGCAAUCGUUUGAACGAUGGAGUGACGCAGGAAGGCAGGUCCGCGCGAGAAUGGUAGAUCGCGUACAAGCGUGCAGGCUGGUGCACAGGCAAAUCCGUGUACUGAGGCUGAGGCGUGAUGUGGAGGGAACUUGUUCCCGAAGGGAUUGAGCCUACGCUGCCGAGAAAAGCUUCUAGUGAGAAAGCUGCCGCCCGUACCGUAAACCGACACAGGUAUGCGGGGAGAGAAUCCUAAGGUGCGCGGGAGAACCCUCGUUAAGGAACUCGGCAAAAUGUACCCGUAACUUCGGGAUAAGGGUAGCCGCUGUUGUGAAGUCUGAACAGACGGAGCAUGAGGCGGUCGCAGAGAAGAGGCCCAAGCGACUGUUUACCACAAACACAGGUGCCUGCUAAAGAGAAAUCUGACGUAUAGGUGCUGACACCUGCCCAGUGCCGGAAGGUUAAGGAAGGAUGUCCGGAGCAAUCCAAAGCAUUCGACCGAAGCCCCGGUGAACGGCGGCCGUAACUAUAACGGUCCUAAGGUAGCGAAAUUCCUUGUCGGGUAAG
Molecule: ribosomal RNA, 1958 nt
Filed under: human gut metagenome
Description: bacterial LSU rRNA
Rfam family: Bacterial large subunit ribosomal RNA
Source: RNAcentral